UGGGGAAUUUUGGACAAUGGGGGAAACCCUGAUCCAGCCAUCCCGCGUGUGCGAUGAAGGCCUUCGGGUUGUAAAGCACUUUUGGCAGGAAAGAAACGUCGCGGGUUAAUACCCCGCGAAACUGACGGUACCUGCAGAAUAAGCACCGGCUAACUACGUGCCAGCAGCCGCGGUAAUACGUAGGGUGCAAGCGUUAAUCGGAAUUACUGGGCGUAAAGCGUGCGCAGGCGGUUCGGAAAGAAAGAUGUGAAAUCCCAGAGCUUAACUUUGGAACUGCAUUUUUAACUACCGGGCUAGAGUGUGUCAGAGGGAGGUGGAAUUCCGCGUGUAGCAGUGAAAUGCGUAGAUAUGCGGAGGAACACCGAUGGCGAAGGCAGCCUCCUGGGAUAACACUGACGCUCAUGCACGAAAGCGUGGGGAGCAAACAGGAUUAGAUACCCUGGUAGUCCACGCCCUAAACGAUGCCAACUAGCUGUUGGGGCCUUCGGGCCUUGGUAGCGCAGCUAACGCGUGAAGUUGACCGCCUGGGGAGUACGG
RNAcentral lists this ribosomal RNA (537 nucleotides) under uncultured bacterium. RNAcentral describes it as "partial 16S ribosomal RNA". It matches the Rfam family "Bacterial small subunit ribosomal RNA", at positions 355 to 885 of the family's 1533-position model. The record is from RNAcentral.